RNAcentral lists this unclassified non-coding RNA (180 nucleotides) under Aromatoleum tolulyticum. Its description in RNAcentral is "Azoarcus tolulyticus 6S / SsrS RNA". Lineage: Bacteria; Pseudomonadati; Pseudomonadota; Betaproteobacteria; Rhodocyclales; Rhodocyclaceae. The record is from RNAcentral.
CAAUCCCCGCUGUGUCGUCGAAGUCGUAGAUUCCUUGGACCAAUGUCGAGAGACUUGGUCGCGGACCAUGGAUGCCGCAGGUGUGCACGCCCCUAGCCGGGUGAGCCUGAUGCGGAAGGAAAGCGACCUCCCUGAACCCCAGGUUCAGGAUGCCGGCCGAGGCGACACUGCGGGGGCCAA